Molecule: small nucleolar RNA, 128 nt
Organism: Mus pahari (shrew mouse)
Lineage: Eukaryota; Metazoa; Chordata; Mammalia; Rodentia; Muridae
Product: small nucleolar RNA SNORA17
Exons: 1
Source: RefSeq, a predicted model, not a curated record
GCUGCCCCUAGAGGCAUUGUAGAUGUAGCCACUGUGUCACAUGUAGGUUGAUAGUUGAAAAGGAGAGAGGCUAUGUCUACACUCAGAGUUCUGACUCUGAACAUCUGAAUGAUUUGUAGCCUAACAUG